RNA transcript from Cygnus olor (mute swan), 3234 nucleotides. It is a transcript of the gene named papilin-like, with no coding region annotated. The transcript is spliced from 15 exons. Lineage: Eukaryota; Metazoa; Chordata; Aves; Anseriformes; Anatidae. The record is from RefSeq and is a predicted model, not a curated record.
CAGCCACCCGGGUCCUGUCCCUGUCCUGUCCCCAGGGGUCAUCCUGACCCGAAAGCGCGGCUCGGCUGGAGAUAAGCGGGCCGGCUGGCGGGGCGCCCGCGGGUUCUGGGAACGUCCCUCCUCCUGCUCGCCUGCCGGAUCCCCGGGGCCAGCCGGGCUGUAGCCACCCUGCACCCCCAGCACCCCGGCCAGAGACUUUAAACCCAGCCCUGUCUCAGCGCCGGACACUCGCAACGCCCCCGGCAGCACCAUGAGCCCAGGGGUUUGCCUCCUCCUGGGCCUCCUCAUCCUCGGGGCAGAGCCAGGCACUGCACCAGGGGAGGAAGGAGCCAAGGAAGGCGUGUGCCCGGGGGGGGCCGCGGGGGAGGCCCUGCACGUGUUCUGCCUGGCGGACGAGUCCUGCCCCGGGGCCGAGAAGUGCUGCCACGACGGGGACGUGAGAGCCUGCACCAUCCCCAGCAAAGUGCACCCCGGGUACUGCCCGGGGCGAGGGGCAGCGGGGGCGGCCCUGUGCCGCCAGAGCUGUGCCGACGACAGCGGGUGCGGAGCUGGCGAGAAGUGCUGCACCGUGGGCUGCCACCGGCGGUGCGCCGCAGCGCUGCCAGCCCACCCUGGCGUCUGCCCCCGGCUCCCGGCCGGGCCCCUCCGUGCGCCGUGUCCCAACGCCUGCAGCGAUGACAGAGGGUGCCCGCAGGACCAGAAAUGCUGCUUCACCGGCUGCGGCCUCGGCUGCGUGACGCCGCUGGGGAACGGCAGCAGCGACUUCCCCCCCCCCGGGGAGGUGGACUGGAGCCUCAGCCAGGCGGAGGAGACGCACGGGGGGGAGCCACAGAAGCCGGGGACGUGCCCCCGGGACUUCACGCGCUGCCUCCGCCUGGAGCCCCCCCUCUGCACCAACGACUCGGUGUGCCCCGGCUGGCACAAGUGCUGUCCCCGUGAGUGCCGGCUCCGCUGCACCCCUCCUGCAGAAGAGAAACCCGGCACCUGCCCCACGGCAGCCCCGGAGGGGCUCUUUUACCCCUGCUCCUUCCAGUGCCUGGAGGACAAGGACUGCCUGGGCAGCAAGAAGUGCUGCCCGCUGGGCUGCGGCCCGGCCUGCCUGGAGCCGCUGCAGGGUGAGGCCUCCUGCGGGGCCAGCCGGAGCCGUGUGCCGCGCCAGAGCCCCGGCUCCCCGCGGCGCGGCUCAGGGCACGGUGCCGCAGACACCUGCCACCUCCCCGCCGCGCCGGGACCCUGCGGCGGCCGCGAGCUCCGCUUCUUCUACAACGUCACCUCCGGGCGGUGCGAGACGUUCCCCUACGGCGGCUGCGAGGGCAACCCCAACAACUUCGGGACGCGGGCAGCGUGCCACCGGGCGUGCGUGGGCCACGACAAACCCAAACCCGGGGAGUGCCCGGCGGUGCUGCCGGAGCUGGCGGGGCCGUGCCGGGAGGAGUGCGAAGGUGACAGCGACUGCCCCAGCUCACAGAAGUGCUGCAACAGCAGCUGCGGCCACCAGUGCCUGCCUGCAGCCCCGGCCACCCUGAGCCCUGUGCCUCGCGGGGCCCCUGCGGCUGUGCCAGGCUGGCAGGAGGGGACAAGGUGCUGGAGUGACAGGGACUGCAGCGGCAGGGACACGUGCUGCCGUGGCUGGUGCAUGCAGGGGUGCGGUGCAGAGGGCACAGGGAAGGCCGGCUUCUGCCCAGCCAGCGCGGGGCUGUUCCCCAGCUACGACUGCAGAGAAUGGUGCCAGCGAGACGCCGACUGCCCCGGCACGGAGAAGUGCUGCCUGCGCGGCUGUGACUACGUGUGCCUGCGCCCGGCCCAAGAGAAACCGGGGAUCUGCCCCCUGACCGAGGCGGCACCGCGGACCAGGGCCCCGUGCCAGGCCUCCUGUGCAGAAGACUGGCAGUGCCCAGGGGACGAGAAGUGCUGCAGCAGCAGCCGAUGUGGCCGGGUCUGCCUGGCUCCAGAACGAGACAAACCUGGCCAGUGCCCAAAGGUGAGGCCACGGCAGACAUCGGAGCUGUGCACGGAGGAGGACGCCUGUGGCCACGACAGGGACUGUCCCCGGCAGGAGAAGUGCUGCUUCUCCGGCUGCGCCAUGCGCUGCAAGCGCCCUGCCAGGGGUAACCGCGAGCAGCCGGGCCCCAGCUCCGCGCCGGGCACGGGGCACGGGGCACCGGGCACAGGGCACAGGGCACAGGGCACAAGGCACCGGGCACGGGGCACAGGACAUUGGGGACAGGGCACAAGGCAUUGGGCACAGGGCACAGGGCAGCAGCAUGACCAACGCUGGAUCUGGGGGGACUGCCCUCACCCUGCCCCCCCUCCCGCAGAGCACCCCGGGGAGUGCCCCCGGGCAGAGCCGUGCUGGGACCCACGGCGCAGGCGCGGGAGCCAGUGCCUGGACGACAGCGCCUGCCAGCGGGACGAGAAGUGCUGCAGCACGGGCUGCGCCUGGGCGUGCGUGGCCGUGGCCGUGCCCGGAGAGAGCCAGGACAGAGCCCCCGGGCAGUGCAUGGAGGAGUGUGACACCGACGUGCAGUGCCCCCAGGGACAGAGGUGCACCAGCACCGGCUGCGGCCGUGUCUGCAGGGACAUCCCUGGAGGGAGGGUGGGAGUGUGCCCCAUCCCCAGGGACGGCGGGACGUGCUCGGACCUGUGCAGCUUCGACGAGGAGUGUCCCUGGGGCCAGAAGUGCUGCAGCAACGGUUGCGGCCACGUCUGCACGCCUGCCUCUCUCGAAGAGCGCGACGUGGCCGUGGUGCCACAGCACGACGGACGGUGCACGGAGGAGUGUGACGCCGACUCGCAGUGCCCCCGGGGACAGAGGUGCACCCGCGCCAGCUGUGGCCGUGUCUGCAGGGACAUCCCCGGAGGUGAGAUACAGCCGUGGCCCAGCCCUGCCCCGGGAGCCACAGGGUGCUCCGUGGCGGGGUGCCCCACACGUGAGGGGUGCCCCACGGUGGGCGCUCUGCCUUGCAGGGAGGGUGGGAGCGUGCCCCAUCCCCAGGGACGGCGGGACGUGCUCGGACCUGUGCAGCUUUGACGAGGAGUGUCCCUGGGGCCAGAAGUGCUGCAGCAACGGCUGCGGCCACGUCUGCACGCGGGUUCCUAACGAUGCUGCGUGACGGGAGAGCAGCAGCUCUGUGGCAGGAAGGUGCCGUCGUUCCGGGACACUGGGUGGUCAUGGCCCCAAACUGGCCUGUCCCCUUCUUCCCGCUGCCAGCAAUAAAGCACGUGCUCGCCGUC